RNAcentral lists this ribosomal RNA (897 nucleotides) under Bacillus sp. (in: firmicutes). RNAcentral's name for it is "bacterial SSU rRNA". It matches the Rfam family "Bacterial small subunit ribosomal RNA", at positions 9 to 873 of the family's 1533-position model. The record is from RNAcentral. Lineage: Bacteria; Bacillati; Bacillota; Bacilli; Caryophanales; Bacillaceae.
CCCAGAGUUUGAUUCAUGGCUCAGGGACGAACGCUGGCGGCGUGCCUAAUACAUGCAAGUCGAGCGGACAGAUGGGAGCUUGCUCCCUGAUGUUAGCGGCGGACGGGUGAGUAACACGUGGGUAACCUGCCUGUAAGACUGGGAUAACUCCGGGAAACCGGGGCUAAUACCGGAUGGUUGUUUGAACCGCAUGGUUCAAACAUAAAAGGUGGCUUCGGCUACCACUUACAGAUGGACCCGCGGCGCAUUAGCUAGUUGGUGAGGUAAUGGCUCACCAAGGCAACGAUGCGUAGCCGACCUGAGAGGGUGAUCGGCCACACUGGGACUGAGACACGGCCCAGACUCCUACGGGAGGCAGCAGUAGGGAAUCUUCCGCAAUGGACGAAAGUCUGACGGAGCAACGCCGCGUGAGUGAUGAAGGUUUUCGGAUCGUAAAGCUCUGUUGUUAGGGAAGAACAAGUACCGUUCGAAUAGGGCGGUACCUUGACGGUACCUAACCAGAAAGCCACGGCUAACUACGUGCCAGCAGCCGCGGUAAUACGUAGGUGGCAAGCGUUGUCCGGAAUUAUUGGGCGUAAAGGGCUCGCAGGCGGUUUCUUAAGUCUGAUGUGAAAGCCCCCGGCUCAACCGGGGAGGGUCAUUGGAAACUGGGGAACUUGAGUGCAGAAGAGGAGAGUGGAAUUCCACGUGUAGCGGUGAAAUGCGUAGAGAUGUGGAGGAACACCAGUGGCGAAGGCGACUCUCUGGUCUGUAACUGACGCUGAGGAGCGAAAGCGUGGGGAGCGAACAGGAUUAGAUACCCUGGUAGUCCACGCCGUAAACGAUGAGUGCUAAGUGUUAGGGGGUUUCCGCCCCUUAGUGCUGCAGCUAACGCAUUAAGCACUCCGCCUUGGGGAG